AAGCUUCUAGUUAGAUCUAGAGGAUUGAGAUUGGGGCUUAAAAUGUGUAGCUUAAGUGAUGUAUAGCUCAUAUUGUAUCAUGAGAGACAGGUCUCCCAUGAUAAUUGUCACUGUGCUGUUAUAUUUUAGAAAAUGACUAAAUUGUCCUUUUGCUACAAACCUAUCGAUUUUUUGAAACAUUUAUAAAUGUCAAACUCACAGUACUGUAAUGAAUACCAUGUGUCUACCUGGAUUAACCAUUGCUGAACAUUUUGCUUUAUUUCUUCCCUCCCUCUCCUUUCAGAAGCUGAAUCAUUUGAAAUUAGUUGGAAAAGUGUAAAACUUUACUUC
Sapajus apella (tufted capuchin) is the source of this 330-nucleotide long non-coding RNA. RefSeq lists it as uncharacterized. NCBI's taxonomy places the organism in Eukaryota, Metazoa, Chordata, Mammalia, Primates, Cebidae. The transcript has 2 exons. The record is from RefSeq and is a predicted model, not a curated record.